GAGAAAUUUAAUAUGGCUUUACAAAGGCUUAUGUCUCCUAAAAGUACUGAAAAUAAAACACUUCACAGACUUUACUGUAUUAAUUAAAUAUACACGCAUUCGUAUGAAGUAUAAAAAAUCUUUAGUCAAGAGCAGAGAGUGAUUUUAUUGAGAGAUGAAUUAGGUUACUGCAGCUUUAAGACGUGAGAGAGAGAUCGCUCUGUUCACGUGCACUGAUGACAGGCUGCUGUGUGUGGGCGGCGGCUGAACGCAGACAAGCAGCUGUGAGGAAAAUAAAAGUUUAAACGCUCAAAACUUUAAGACGCAUGCAAAUAAGAAACUUUUGGCAUGAGGAUGCAAUUGUCCGUGAUAGAUAUGUGUUGUAUACGCUGUUUGAUGGGGAUGUGAAGACGCCUCGCGCUGUUUACCGGAGCGCGUCCUCAUACGCAUAUCUCUGUAAAGGCAAAGAGAGACAUACAAAUCUGCACGCUGCACAUGAGCAACAGGUUGCAGCUGUGACUGACAUGGGGGGGGGACUGUUGACGAGGCCACAAAAAGAAUGAUGACCUUCCUUCUAGACCAUGGCCUAUCCAGGCAGUAUAAUUUUCUGGGCCGAAAUGGAAAGAGAGAGUUCAAGUCCUUAAAACUGUAUGAAGUUAUAUAUGCUUAAAGUGAAACACCAUGACCAGCCAAAUCACCCUUAAAGAUGCCGAGAAGGCGGUCUCCAAGUGGCUCAUUGGUGCUAGGGACCGGGGGGGGGGGGGGGGGGGGGGGGGUAAUAGACAGGCCCGACAGGCAACCCCUCAACAAGGACUUCAGGCUUCAGGCUCAUUUGAGGUGGAAAUAAACUAAUUCUGUCUGUGACUGUGAGGGAACAUUGCAAAAGCAUGUUGU
Molecule: long non-coding RNA, 873 nt
Organism: Paramisgurnus dabryanus
Lineage: Eukaryota; Metazoa; Chordata; Actinopteri; Cypriniformes; Cobitidae
Source: RefSeq, a predicted model, not a curated record